RNAcentral lists this ribosomal RNA (876 nucleotides) under uncultured Nitrososphaerota archaeon. RNAcentral describes it as "bacterial SSU rRNA". It matches the Rfam family "Archaeal small subunit ribosomal RNA", at positions 21 to 903 of the family's 1478-position model. Lineage: Archaea; Thermoproteati; Nitrososphaerota. The record is from RNAcentral.
ACCUGACUGCUAUCGGAUUGAUACUAAGCCAUGCGAGUCAUUGUAGUAAUACAAGGCAGACGGCUCAGUAACGCGUAGUCAACCUAACCUAUGGACGGGAAUAACCUCGGGAAACUGAGUAUAAUGCCCGAUAGAACAUUAUGCCUGGAAUGGUUUAUGUUCCAAAUGAUUUAUCGCCAUAGGAUGGGACUGCGGCCUAUCAGUUUGUUGGUGAGGUAAUGGCCCACCAAGACUAUUACAGGUACGGGCUCUGAGAGGAGUGGCCCGGAGAUGGGUACUGAGACACGGACCCAGGCCCUAUGGGGCGCAGCAGGCGAGAAAACUUUGCAAUGUGCGAAAGCACGACAAGGUUAAUCCGAGUGGUUUCUGCUAAAGGAACCUUUUGUCGGUCCUAGAAACACCGAUGAAUAAGGGGUGGGCAAGUUCUGGUGUCAGCCGCCGCGGUAAAACCAGCACCUCAAGUGGUCAGGAUGAUUAUUGGGCCUAAAGCAUCCGUAGCCGGCUCUGUAAGUUUUCGGUUAAAUCUGUACGCUUAACGUACAGGCUGCCGGGAAUACUGCAGAGCUAGGGAGUGGGAGAGGUAGACGGUACUCGGUAGGAAGGGGUAAAAUCCUUUGAUCUAUUGAUGACCACCUGUGGCGAAGGCGGUCUACCAGAACACGUCCGACGGUGAGGGAUGAAAGCUGGGGGAGCAAACCGGAUUAGAUACCCGGGUAGUCCCAGCUGUAAACUAUGCAAACUCAGUGAUGCAUUGGCUUGUGGCCAAUGCAGUGCUGCAGGGAAGCCGUUAAGUUUGCCGCCUGGGAAGUACGUACGCAAGUAUGAAACUUAAAGGAAUUGGCGGGGGAGCACCACAAGGGGUGAAGCCUGCGGUUC